AUGGCGAAUGCUCUCAACAUCCCGGCCAUGGCCUCGAGUUCCCUCCCGCUCCUCGCCCUCCUGGCCCUGCUGGCCCUGCCAGGGCUCCGGGCGGCCGUGACCCUGCUGGAGUCCGGGGGGGACCUCCAGCCCCCCGGGGGGUCCCUGACUCUGCUCUGCCGCAGCUCUGGGUUCAAUUUUGGGAGCCACGACAUGUUCUGGAUCCGGCAGAGCCCCGGGAAGGCGCUGGAAUACGUCGCAGGGAUCUCGAGUAGUGGUGGUUACACCGACUACUCGCCGUCAGUCAAGGGCUGGUUCAGGAUCUCCAGGGACAACGGGCAGAGCUCGGUGACGCUGACCAUGAACAACCUCAAGGACGAGGAUUCCGGCGCCUAUUUCUGUGCCAAAGAUUCUGUUGGUAGUUCUGUUCUUUAUGGUGGUGCUGCAAUGCCCUUGAUUCAAGCACAGGAGCACGGACAGGAAGGUGCUGCUGUGGGACACAUCUCGGGCUGUUCAUUCUCCACCUUCACUCUCAUUACAAGUUUGGGGCAAUGGAAACAAUCCAAGGGCUCCCGUCCUUGA
Oenanthe melanoleuca is the source of this 561-nucleotide non-coding RNA. NCBI's taxonomy places the organism in Eukaryota, Metazoa, Chordata, Aves, Passeriformes, Muscicapidae. The record is from the annotation of a RefSeq genome assembly.